GACGAACGCUGGCGGCGUGCUUAACACAUGCAAGUCGAACGGAGUGGCGAACGGGUGAGUAACACGUGGGUGACCUGCCCUGCACUUCGGGAUAAGCCUGGGAAACUGGGUUUAAUACCGGAUAGUGUGGGAUGGGCGCGGGGCCUAUCAGCUGGUAGGUGGGGUAAUGGCCUACCAAGGCGGCGACGGGUAGCCGGCCUGAGAGGGUGGACGGCCACAUUGGGACUACGAGACGGCCCAGACGGCAACGGGAGGCAGUGGUGGGGAAUAUGGCAGAAUAGGCGGAAGCCUGAGGCAGAGGCGCCGGGUGGGGGAUGACGGCCUUCGGGUUGUGAACACCUUUCACCGUCGACGCGGUAGAUGGAGAAGAAGCACCGGCUAACUCCGUGCCAGCAGCCGCGGUAACAC
Molecule: ribosomal RNA, 408 nt
Filed under: uncultured bacterium
Lineage: Bacteria
Description: partial 16S ribosomal RNA
Rfam family: Bacterial small subunit ribosomal RNA
Source: RNAcentral